RNAcentral lists this ribosomal RNA (486 nucleotides) under uncultured bacterium. RNAcentral's name for it is "partial 16S ribosomal RNA". It matches the Rfam family "Bacterial small subunit ribosomal RNA", at positions 30 to 507 of the family's 1533-position model. The record is from RNAcentral.
AUUGAACGCUGGCGGCAUGCCUUACACAUGCAAGUCGAACGGCAGCACGGGUGCUUGCCCCUGGUGGCGAGUGGCGAACGGGUGAGUAAUACAUCGGAACAUGUCCUGUAGUGGGGGAUAGCCCGGCGAAAGCCGGAUUAAUACCGCAUACGAUCCACGGAUGAAAGCGGGGGACCUUCGGGCCUCGCGCUUUAGGGUUGGCCGAUGGCUGAUUAGCUAGUUGGUGGGGUAAAGGCCUACCAAGGCGGCGAUCAGUAGCUGGUCUGAGAGGACGACCAGCCACACUGGGACUGAGACACGGCCCAGACUCCUACGGGAGGCAGCAGUGGGGAAUUUUGGACAAUGGGCGAAAGCCUGAUCCAGCAAUGCCGCGUGUGUGAAGAAGGACUUCGGGUUGUAAAGCACUUUUGUCCGGAAAGAAAUCCUUGACUCUAAUACAGUCGGGGGAUGACGGUACCGGAAGAAUAAGCACCGGCUAACUACGUG